Molecule: ribosomal RNA, 254 nt
Filed under: uncultured bacterium
Lineage: Bacteria
Description: partial 16S ribosomal RNA
Rfam family: Bacterial small subunit ribosomal RNA
Source: RNAcentral
CACGUAGGGCGCAAGCGUUGUCCGGAAUUAUUGGGCGUAAAGAGCUCGUAGGCGGUGUGUCGCGUCGGCCGUGAAAACCUGCAGCUUAACUGUGGGCGUGCGGUCGAUACUGGCAUCACUGGAGUUCGGCAGGGGAGACUGGAAUUCCUGGUGUAGCGGUGAAAUGCGCAGAUAUCAGGAGGAACACCGGUGGCGAAGGCGGGUCUCUGGGCCGAUACUGACGCUGAGGAGCGAAAGCGUGGGGAGCGAACAGG